This 1566-nucleotide ribosomal RNA is filed under the name Triticum aestivum (bread wheat). Its description in RNAcentral is "partial small subunit ribosomal RNA". Lineage: Eukaryota; Viridiplantae; Streptophyta; Magnoliopsida; Poales; Poaceae. The record is from RNAcentral.
AUGGGGCCACCAUCCCGGCAGGGAGGCGCCUCGGCGGGAGCACGGUGUCCACCCGUCAUGACCGAGAUUCCAAAUUGCAGUUUCAAACUUCGGGCCCCAAGACGUGGGACUGGCAUUGUUUCUUUUCUCAGGGGCGCGGGAGGAGAGACGCACCGGACGGUUUCCCUCAUGGACUCGCCGGAUUUCCGCCGGCGAGAAUCCGAGGACAAUGAGACUUGUCCGAGAAGGUUUGCUGCUGCUGAUGGUGCGCCUCCUCCAGCAAUUUUCUCGACGCCAGACCAUGGCGUUGGAACUUCGGCCAGCAGUGGUUCAAAAUUUCCCAUAGCCGAUGAUAACUCAUUGGUGCGUCAUCCGGCGAUGCACUCAUCCAUAUUGAUGCCGCCGUGUACUGUUGAACCAAGGGAGAUGAUGACACCGGAUCCCAGCGCAAGAUACAUACACGGUGAGCAAGUCCGUGAAGAUUUUGUGCCAAAGACAAAUAUGGGUUUCGUCACCGAGGAGGAAGGGUAUGACUUUUAUCUACAAUAUGCAAGAGAAGCUGGUUUUGGUAUUACGAAGCUCAGGAGGAAACCGAUGUCGCGUCUAUAUGCAUGCUCCCGAGAAGGUACUUCUACAUUUUACAAGCCCGGGGAGGAACGGAAACGUGCAAAGAUGUCAAAGAGAGUUAACUGUAAGGCAGCGUUUAAGAUGAAGAAAAGAGGGAAAGAAUGGAUAUAUGAGAAAGUACUAUUGGAGCACAAUCAUACCCUAAAUCCUGAGCCAUGGGAGUUGAAGCACAUGCGUUCACACAAGAACAAAGACCCUGCUAUCAUGGAAUUCGUUGAUGAUCUGCAGAUGUGCGACGUCUCUCCUAAUGCCACCAUGAAUGUGUUGACCAAGUUCCAUGGCAACCGUGAGAACAUGCCAUGGACUGAACGUGACAUGCAAAAUAGAAAAGCUGAAAAUGUGCGUAAGGAGCGAGCGGAUGAUGUUAAAAAACUAAAGGCUUUCUUCAACGAGUGCAGAGCACAGAAUAGUAAGUUUUAUUAUGACAUAGAACAUGACUCCGAGGGUGCUCCGAAGAAUAUAUUUUGGAGUCAUGCUAGCUGCCAGGCUAACUAUGCUGAGUUUGGUGAUGUGGUUACUUUUGAUACAACAUAUAAGUGCAAUUUUUACAAUAAGCCAUUAGCAAUGUUUGUUGGGAGCAACCACCAUUUGCAGAAUGUCAUUUUUGGUUUUGCACUCCUCGGUGAUGAGAAGGAGGAAACAUUUGAUUGGGUUUUUCGCACUUUCAAAAUGUGCAUGGAAAACAAAGAACCUCAUUGCAUACUUACAGAUCAAGACCAAGCAAUGGCAAAUGCUCUUCCGGGAGUGUUUCCAAACACUAUUCAUAGGCUAUGCAGAUGGCAUGUUUUGCAUGGUCACAAAGACGGCUUGAAGGUGUUGUAUAACUUGUAUGAUGGUUUGAAAGAGAAGUUGUUGACAAUAAUAAAUCAUCCCCUCACCCCCAUGGAGUUUGAGAAGGCGUGGAUGGAGAUGGUGAAUGAAUAUGGACUCGAGUCAGAUCCUACAAUUGGCAGUUUGUAA